This 315-nucleotide ribosomal RNA is filed under the name uncultured eukaryote. Its description in RNAcentral is "partial 18S ribosomal RNA". It matches the Rfam family "Eukaryotic small subunit ribosomal RNA", at positions 1470 to 1796 of the family's 1831-position model. The record is from RNAcentral.
CCCUUAGACGUUCUGGGCCGCACGCGCGCUACACUGACCAGUGCAACAAGCAUCCGUCCUUGGCCGACAGGCCCGGGCAAUCUUUGAACGCUGGUCGUGAUGGGGAUAGACUUUUGCAAUUUUUGGUCUUCAACGAGGUAUUCCUAGUAAACGCAAGUCAUCAACUUGCAUUGAUUACGUCCCUGCCCUUUGUACACACCGCCCGUCGCACCUACCGAUUGAAUGGUCCGGUGAAGCCUCCGGAUUGGCGCGCACCUCGGUGCCGCCGAGAAGUUGGCUAAACCUUACCAUUUAGAGGAAGGUGAAGUCGUAACA